RNAcentral lists this ribosomal RNA (468 nucleotides) under uncultured bacterium. RNAcentral describes it as "partial 16S ribosomal RNA". It matches the Rfam family "Bacterial small subunit ribosomal RNA", at positions 28 to 507 of the family's 1533-position model. The record is from RNAcentral.
GACGAACGCUGGCGGCGUGCUUAACACAUGCAAGUCGAACGGAAAGGCCCUGCUUUUGUGGGGUGCUCGAGUGGCGAACGGGUGAGUAACACGUGAGUAACCUGCCCUUGACUUUGGGAUAACUUCAGGAAACUGGGGCUAAUACCGGAUAGGAGCUCCUGCUGCAUGGUGGGGGUUGGAAAGUUUCGGCGGUUGGGGAUGGACUCGCGGCUUAUCAGCUUGUUGGUGGGGUAGUGUCUUACCAAGGCUUUGACGGGUAGCCGGCCUGAGAGGGUGACCGGCCACAUUGGGACUGAGAUACGGCCCAGACUCCUACGGGAGGCAGCAGUGGGGAAUAUUGCACAAUGGGCGGAAGCCUGAUGCAGCCACGCCGCGUGCGGGAUGACGGCCUUCGGGUUGUAAACCGCUUUCGCCUGUCACGAAGUGUGAGUGACGGUAAUGGGUAAAGAAGCACCGGCUAACUACGUG